GACGAACGCUGGCGGCGUGCUUAACACAUGCAAGUCGAACGGAAAGGCCCCUUUGGGGGUACUCGCGUGGCGAACGGGUGAGUAACACGUGAGUAACCUGCCCUUGACUUCGGGAUAAAUUAAGGAAACUGGGGCUAAUACCGGAUAGGAAUCAUUGCUGCAUGGUGGGGGUUGGAAAGCUUGGGCGGGUUUGGGUGGACUCGCGGCUUAUCUGCUUGUUGGUGGGGGAGGUGCUUACCAAGGCUUUGACGGGUAGCCGGCCUGGGUGGGCGACCGGCCACCUUGGGACUUGGGUUCGGCCCAGACCCCUACGGGGGGCAACAGGGGGGGAUAUUGGACAAAGGGCGGGAGCCCGAUGCAGCAACGCCGCGGGCGGGAUGACCGGCUUCGGGUUGUAAACCGCCUUCAGCAGGUGCGGAGCUGGGGGUGACGGUACCGGCAGAAGAAGCACCGGCUAACUACGUG
This 465-nucleotide ribosomal RNA is filed under the name uncultured bacterium. RNAcentral's name for it is "partial 16S ribosomal RNA". It matches the Rfam family "Bacterial small subunit ribosomal RNA", at positions 28 to 507 of the family's 1533-position model. The record is from RNAcentral.